CAACAUGUCUGUAAUGUGUGCGAAGACUGCGACAGAGUCACAGUGUUCAGUGCAGUGGGAGUGAAGAAGAAGAGGGGGCGGGUCGCCCUCAGCUUUGCAGAUCUUGGUGGGGGGUGGGGUGGGGGUUAGGACUGGCACUCACCAAUCCGGUGGCCUCACGUCACCAGGAGCCUGUGGCUGAAGUCUUGGAUCUGACAGCAGUUGCCAUUCAGGUAACCAGCUCCCUGUUUUCUUGGCGGUUGAUGGUGAGCAAGGAAGGAGAAGGAAGAAGGAAGAAGGAAUAAAGAAGGAGAAGACCCGUGUUGAAAUCUGAGGGACACAGACCCCUGAAAUCCUCGCAGCAUCUGCAGCAUGGGGUGUGCUCAGAAUUUGGUGUUGAUGGCAGCAGGCCUGGUGAUUGGAACUGGCACCUGGUACUGCAUAUAUCGACUGACCUGUGGUAAAGAGCAGAACAAGAAGAGGCCAGCUGAUACGAAAGAUAUCAGUCCUGUCUACAAGAAAUUCAGAAAACUGUGAGAGAAAAAAAGAGAGAGAGAAUAAAAGCAAGCAACAAAUGA
Long non-coding RNA from Erinaceus europaeus (western European hedgehog), 557 nucleotides. RefSeq lists it as uncharacterized. Lineage: Eukaryota; Metazoa; Chordata; Mammalia; Eulipotyphla; Erinaceidae. The transcript has 2 exons. The record is from RefSeq and is a predicted model, not a curated record.